ACUGGAUUAAAUAAAAGAGUGUUGUGAUAGUUAGAGAGGUAGACUACUGGAUUAAAUAAAAGAGUGUUGUGAUAGUUCUUUCAGUUAGAGAGGGAGACUACUGGAUUAAAUAAAAGAGUGUUCUUACAGUUAGAGCGGUAGUCUACUGGAUUAAAUAAAAGAGUGCUGUGAUAGUUAGAGAGGUAGUCUACUGGAUUAAAUAAAAUAGUCUUGUGAUAGUUAGAGAGGUAGUCUACUGGAUUAAAUAAAAGAGUGUUGUGAUAGUUAGAGCGGUUAGAGAGGUAGUCUACUGGAUUAAAUAAAAGAGUGUUGUGUGGAGGGAGAGUGUUGUGUGGAGGGAGAGUGUUGUAGAGCAGGCUACUAGCAGCAGUGUGAGAGCUGUGACGAAGAUG
Long non-coding RNA from Clupea harengus (Atlantic herring), 392 nucleotides. The record is from Ensembl. Lineage: Eukaryota; Metazoa; Chordata; Actinopteri; Clupeiformes; Clupeidae.